This 269-nucleotide long non-coding RNA is filed under the name Medicago truncatula (barrel medic). RNAcentral's name for it is "long non-coding RNA (MTRU_LNC008904)". The record is from RNAcentral. Lineage: Eukaryota; Viridiplantae; Streptophyta; Magnoliopsida; Fabales; Fabaceae.
UGCUGUCACCCUUGGGAGAUAUAUACCAAGGUAAAACGAUCACCUCGUAGUGCUAAACAAGUAGGCAAAAGGUCUGCUGUAACCAAAGGUAAAACUAUCCCCUCACAAUGCUAAAGAAGUAGGCAAAAGGUCUGCGGUAACUAAUGUUGGUAGUGAAGGACACUAUUAUGAUGUCCUUGCACAGAUGGUUUAGCCUAUAAAUGGAACACCCAUUGGCCGAGCGAAUUUGAAAAUGUGGUUCCUUUAAAACACCCAGAUGUUGUCAUGCG